GCUGUGAUGGUCGAGUGGUUAAGGUGUUGGACUUGAAACCCAAUAGGGUUGUACUGUGUGUGUGCAAAUCCUGCUCAUAGCA
RNAcentral lists this transfer RNA (82 nucleotides) under Pelodiscus sinensis (Chinese soft-shelled turtle). It matches the Rfam family "tRNA". From Rfam's summary of the family: Transfer RNA (tRNA) molecules are approximately 80 nucleotides in length. Lineage: Eukaryota; Metazoa; Chordata; Testudines; Trionychidae. The record is from Rfam by way of RNAcentral.